This 253-nucleotide ribosomal RNA is filed under the name uncultured bacterium. Its description in RNAcentral is "partial 16S ribosomal RNA". It matches the Rfam family "Bacterial small subunit ribosomal RNA", at positions 524 to 776 of the family's 1533-position model. The record is from RNAcentral.
UACGUAGGGUGCAAGCGUUAAUCGGAAUUACUGGGCGUAAAGCGUGCGCAGGCGGUUUUGUAAGACAGGCGUGAAAUCCCCGGGCUCAACCUGGGAAUUGCGUUUGUGACUGCAAAGCUGGAGUGCGGCAGAGGGGGAUGGAAUUCCGCGUGUAGCAGUGAAAUGCGUAGAUAUGCGGAGGAACACCGAUGGCGAAGGCAAUCCCCUGGGCCUGCACUGACGCUCAUGCACGAAAGCGUGGGGAGCAAACAGG